Long non-coding RNA from Gallus gallus (chicken), 6765 nucleotides. NCBI's taxonomy places the organism in Eukaryota, Metazoa, Chordata, Aves, Galliformes, Phasianidae. The record is from Ensembl.
CCAUUCCAAAGUCAAGGCUCCCUCUGACAGUGAUUGAUGGCCACCCUCUUACAGGAAGAGUGACUAACUCUAACCUGUGAGUAUUGGAGGUGCUACAGAAUAUAUCUGCUGCACUAUUUAUUUUGGGAGGCGGACACAUGCCCACAUUUUUAUUCUUGGAAUAAACAUUCUGACAUUUUCUGGCAGGUGUGAAUGCUGUAGCAUACUAGCAAGAAGGAGAAAAAAAAAAAAAGAAAGACAGCCUCUACCCUCUCUAAUGGAAACAAACUGAAUAUUGCCAACAUGAAAAUUGUAAACUCUCACCAGAUUCCAUAUGAUUUUUAUCACUUGAAAAGCCAGAUUUUGAUCCUGUGGGUCUCCUGGCAGACCAGUAUGAAAAUCCUUUUUUUUCAAUGGUGCCUACUUGCUUUUCUCAACCAAAUCCAAACCAGAAGACAACUGUGUAAUGAAUUAUGUAAAUUUUAAACAUCAGCCUGAUUACAGCCGACUCAUUUUGCCAAUAGUCUGAAAAGAUUAGCCCUGAUGUCAAAGUGACAGCAUGCAGAACCCUUCUCAAAACUCUCAGCUGUCAUCUCAUCAAAAGCGCAUUGAAGUAGCAGGUCUGAUGUGAAGGGGUAAUUUCAUUUCUUAUUCAGUUUAAGGUCAGUAACAUUUAGCUCAAUUUUACACUGUGUUAUUCCAAAACUUGCCUAGAAAAUUAUAAAACUUUAAAAACAAAUAUUUAUGCAAACUUAUUAUAAUAACAGAUCCUUACACAUUAUUUGGCUGUAGUGUCUUAGAAGUUAAUAGUAUUUACAAAGAGAAAAUAUUUAAAGUCACAGGGCAUAUCAUUUUUAGCUUGGUUCCACAUAUCCAUAACUGUAGGCUAUAAUUAGUAACAAUUUUAAUUGUGAUUGGUCCAUAGGGAGACAGUUUGUAGCAAGUUCUGUAAAGUUUGCUAUCAUGGAAGAAAUAGUAUGGAAUAAUGUGGAAGAAAUAGGAGUCAGAAGAUACAGAUGCAACAACAGAGAAACUAUAAUAAAUAUCAGUAAGUAGGCCAGAAGAGUUCUGUAUAUAUUUUAAGAAAGUCUUUAAUAAAAUCUUUUUUCCUUUAGCAUAUGCACUAUAAUAACAGUUAUUUCCAUUCCUCUGCUACUCGAAGGAUAUUUCAGUUGUGAAAAAUCACAGCUUAGAAAUUAAUCUGCCCCAUAUGAGUCUAGCAGCAUAAGUCAACAGUUACUCUUUUUGGACAAGUACAAGGAAAAGGUCAUGAAAGCAUUUCAGUGCAUUAACACUGCCAGAGGAACAGAGAAUCCUUGGAAUUCAAGGCUGAAGUGGAUACAGGAAGAUACAGGAGUCCAUCACUAACCUACUGCAGUGCGUCAGAUCUGAGCAAGACAUUGGAACAAGUAAAGCAUGACUAUCUCUGCAGCUUCUGUUUAUCUCCUCCUCGUUGGACCUUCCUGUGGACUUACCAGAAAUCUAUCAAACAGUAUCACAAUAUCUACCUUUGCAUCCGGUAAAAGUGGGGGUCGCAUUAGGACUGGCUGAAAUUCCAGCUUAUGAAAUAUACUGAGGUUUCAGAGCCUGUUCCAACAUGAACAAAACCAAUAUCAUCUGUAUUACAUGCAUGAAGAAACCAAACCUAUUCCAGGAGACCAAUAGGAAUUUUUUCUGUAACCUACAAAUUAGUAGCUCACCUUGGGAAAAAAGAGAGCCAUACUCAGCUCCCCUCAGAGAAUCAGGCAUUUGAAUUUGAGCUUAGCUCCUUCCAGAAUAUUCAAACAGAUGUGUCAUUUAACCUCCCUCACAAGACUGCACUUCCCAGGAUGGAGGAUGGUCCUGCUGUAUCUUGAACAUCCCCCUGGCUGCAGUGCAUAGCAAGAACAUAGCUCAGCUGGUAAAGCCAGCUGUGAGGAGGAGAAAUAGGGGAUAUUCCUUCCUAAUCCACUGUCUUAACUUAUUUUAACUAAAGUGUUCUGGUUUUGUUCAACAGUCCACAAGUUGCUCAAUUUGGACAUAUUUUAUCAGGGAAAAACAAAAAAGUUUGCUUUUUUGCUUAUAUUGUUAUAGGAAGAAUAUCAUUUUAAAUAAAAGUCCAGGGUUUCGUGUAAGCAGUAAACCUACAAGUUUUCAGGAUGAGGAUCCUUAGCUUAUUCACUGAAAUGAAGACAAAAAUCUAUUUCAGGAGUUUCAAGAAUAAUUUUUUGAAACACACGUGUAUAUAGUAUAUAACUAUAUACUAUAACACACAAAUCCAGUACAAGAAGUAGAAAAGUCUACUUUUGAAAACACUGUUUCAUUUAUCUGUGGUUUCAAGCAACAUAUUUGUCAGCAGAAAUAUGUCAUGAAUAGAUGCAGUUAACUCCAAACUAUAUUUCAUCUGUUGAAUACCAUUUGCUUUUGCAAGUAAGGGUAGGAAAUAUUUUUCCAUCUCUUAGAAAGGUCACAAUGCUUUGGACUUUGCAUAGUAGCAGAGACUGAAAGGAAUACUUUCACUUUUAAAGUUUUUUUAUUCAGCCUUUUCUUUUCCUCACAUUAACUUUACAACGCUGUUUUAACAGCUUUUCAAGAGUAUAUCCACAAGCACUAUUGCAGAAUUUUCAUGAAAUGAUUUUAAUAACUCGGUUUCUUCUUGGUCACCUUAGUAAACACAGAUAAAGAAGUAGCUCCUCUGCAGUACCGAAUAUUUUAUGUUUCUAAUUUCAAAAAACAAAAAACAGUUCAGAUUUCUUUGUAUCCAUACUUUAUGUAUAAACCGUAUCUUGAUGUCACAGAAUCACAGAGUUGUAGGAGUUGGGUGGGCUUCUGGGGAUCACCUAGUGCAAUCCCCCACUAAAGCAAUUUCCCUACAGUAGGCUGCACAGGAAAGUCCAGGUGGGUUUUGAAUAUCUCCAGAGAAGGAAACCCCACAACCUCUCUGGGCAGCCUGUUUCUUUGCAGUCACCCUCACAGUAAAGAUCUUCCUCACAUUUGUAUGGAACCUUCUGUGUUCCAGUUUGUGUCCACUACCCCUUAUUAUGUCUUUGGGCAUCACCAAACAGAGUCUGGCCCCAUCCUCUUGAUGUCCACGCUUAAGAUAUGCUCUAGGCCCCUUAUCAUCUUUGUGACUGUCUGAUGGACUCUCUUUAGAAGUUCUCUGUCUUUCUUCAACUGAGGAGCCCGGGACCGAAUGCAUUGCUCCAGAUGUGGCCUCACCAGGGCAGAGUAGAGGAGGAGGACCACCUCCCUUGACCUGCUGGCCACACUCUUUUUAAUGCACCUCAGGAUACCACUGGCCUUCGUGGCCACAAGGGCACACUGUUGGCUCAUGGCCAACCUGUUGUUAAACCAGGACACCCAGGUCCUUCUAAAGUAGGGUAUAAAUCUUUGAAGGCUUUUGUUGUUUUUGAUAUCUCCUUCUGCUUCCUACAUUAUACAGUAAAUUAGUAGAAAUGAAUUUGAGUCAGCCAGUACAGUAGUAAAGUAGUGGUUAUUGGGUUGCCAAUGUGCAAAAGCUUUGGUUCCUAGGCCUCCAGCCAGCACAGACUAAACACAUUAAAGAGGUAACUUGCUCGUGAUUGAUGAAAGAUGGGAAGAAAUCACACUAAUGUACUAUCUUGUGGGUUUGGUUAUUUUUUUCUUUGUUUGAAUUUCAUAUGCAAUUAGUGCAUCUCAAAAUACAGAGAUAGUACAUUACUUCCAUCCUAAACAACGUUCUAAAAUUGGACUGCACGCAAAUCUUCUGCAUUUACGAUUAGCUCCCUUGCCUAGCACAUGGUAUCACUGCAUCAGUUCUAUUUUGUACUGCUGUACAUGGUGGUUUCCAAACUCCAAUUGCCACUUUUCAUGUAGAAGGAACUUGUGUUUUCCUUUGUUUGCAAGCCUAGCAUACACCUAUGUGUCCACAGUAAUAGCAGCUGUGAUGGCCUCCAGCCAUCAGUCUCCUUGAUCACAAGAGAAGGUUUAUGAACUCUCUUGAAUUCAUACCCAUUCAAACUUAAACACGAAUUUAGUCUCAGCAAAGUCAGUGGUACUUCAGUGCAUAAAGAAAGUCAAGCACAGGUUUGGAAAGUAAAAAUGGUUUCAAGAAAAAGCUGCACGGUUUCCUACCACCUUCUGCUUUGGUUCCCCAGCCUCCAACCAGGUGGGUCCAACAAUAGCCCAGGAUCUUCUGGCCAACUUUCAAUUCUUUUGCUUGAAGAAAGUUCACAUUUAUUUCAUUUUCAUUUCCAAAUCAGAAUAAAGUCUAUUUUGAAAUGGCAAAUUUUUACAUAAAAUGGAAUUUCCUUCUGUCCAGCUCUAGUAACGACAUAGAGUUGCAGUUUAAAUAAAAGAAAACUAACUGCCAUGUGUUAGCAACACGAAAGGGUCAAACUAGAAUUGAUGUUGCUUUGUGAUGCUCAAAUGGGUAGUAAAAUGCAAUUAUUUCCUUCUCAAAAUGCCAUGACUUUUUCCACUCAUUUAUAUAGUAUCCUAUUACAUUCUCUUUAAAUGUGCAGAGGAGAGGCAUUCCAGUGAAAUAUCCCUGCCAUGAGAUCCCAUGAAAACUCACACUUAUCUGCAAUAUAAAUAUUUCUCUCUCUUCUAGCUCAAAAUUUGGUUUAUCAGCUCUUUUUUCUUAAAAGCUCACAGAUUUUCUUUCCUACUUAAACUGAACUUAGGAAAUAUAUUUAAGCAGAGCUAUGAAGUACUCAAGAUUCAAGGUCACAUACCCCAGAAAGUGGGGAAACUAGUGCCACAUAUGAAGAAUGCCAAUGUGAUUAGCACUAAAGUGUGCCAAGCACACAAAUAUAAUAUGCACAAUGUGACAUCUCUAACAGCAUAAUUAACUGAUGCUAUAAAACAGUCAUACUCCCCUCACACCCGUGCUGACCAAGGCGUAUAUAGCGCUGGAUGCCCAUGGCAUUGCUUUGAUAAGCAGACAUGCACACACUAAAUGGAAAGCGAGCAAAUGUUUUGGGAGACAAAAUCUCUCCACACAGUGCACUGCUCAGUGCCCACAGUAUUUCCAGGCUCUUCAGGUGAAGGUGGCACUAAGGUGAGAGACAUCCUGAGAAGAGAAGAAGGUGUGAUUAAUUCUGGAAUUGUGAUGCCAGCUUCUUGUGGUACUGUGACCUUUCCAAUUGAUUAAGGAAAAACAUUUAUGAAUGCAGGCAGUAGGAUAACAGAACUUCAUUUCCUUUCUCAGCUAACUGAUCAUGUAAAUGGAUUUCAAGACAGAUUAGAGGAAAUGAAUAUGCAUACCCUGCUAUCAGGCUGUUCUUUAUCUGAAAAAAAUGCAUUAGCGGGUUACAAAUAUCAGCUCCUGUUCCUCUUGUUUCAUAGAGCUCACAAUAAGGCAGAGUUAACUUUGAAUUGCUGCUUAACUCAACCCAACAUCUAGGUUGUGUACAAACAGCCUUUAAUUGAGAAAAAAGACUGUGAAGACUGCAGCAGUGUUUUGGUGUUAAAUCCUAGUUUUGGAGGGAGAGAGGAGGAAGAAGGGUGACGAUAGGGCCCCAGCUGUCUGCUAGUCAGACCUUGCCCAAAACCUUGUCUCCCAUCCUCCUGCACCUUGGGUCUCACUGCUGGGAGCCACUUCCACCCCCAGAGUUGGACUGCAGUAACAGUCCACAGUCACUGUGCUGACCCACAGAAGCCAACAGUGGGUCAGCACAAACCGUCUCGAUAAGAAGCUGCUGAGAGAUUUGCUAUCAUCUUCAGAAGAAACAAAACAAACUGAAAACAGCUUGGCUUUUGGGGUUCCAGUUAGUCCUAUUUUGCAUACUUUUUGUACGUAUGAGGCAAGCCGUUCAGUUCCAUCAUGUUUCUGAUAAUAUUUCUUAUCCUUUACUUUGCAGUUUUACCCUUUCAUUCCCCAUCCCAACCUGCUUAAGUAGUUACUCCUUUCUGAUAACAUUACUACACUAUUCACAUUUAAAUGCUUUUGCUCCCUCCUCCUUCCAUAAAUGAUUUUCUCAAGCCAUGUGUAUUAAAUUGUAUUAACUUGCCUAAUUUGUUCACAUGCUGCUAUUCUUUUAAUAAAUUCUUUGCAUUCAGUUUUGUUCCCAUAGUAUUGAAAUACAUAUAGAUACAAAUAAACAUCUGUACAUUUAUUAUUUUUUUAAAAGCUUACAUUUGUAAUCCUCAUGCUGAAGAACUGAAAAGGCUUUGUGUUGAAGUUUGGUGAGACACUGAUCUCAGCUAUGCCAUUCCGUAUCCUGAAGAAAUCACUGCUUUAACAACAGCACGUCUCAUGCCUGAUUUGUCCUGCAAGAGUCUUACCUGUGCUACCACUCUCUGCUUACCUCCGUGGGCUAUAUACCUUUAAUGAAGCAUUGGUGCUGGCAGAGGCUUCUUUCCUCACUCACAUCUAUGUGAAGCAGGUUGGAAAGCCAGAAGCACUCAAUCCAUUGUAACCAUGGAAGAGAGCGCAAAAGAUGGAGUAUCUAAUUUGCUGGCCAUAUCUACUUCAGCAGGAACCUCCUUGUCAGCUGGGGGCUUGCUUUACAAGGGGUCUAUGCAGCCAGCACAUCAUGGAGGCUAGUGGGCCAUUUCCAGAUAAAAUGUUUUUUUUUUUUUCUCAGAAAAUGCUGACUUGCUGAAAAUAAAACUUUAAUCGUGUGUGCCAGCUUCAAUGAAAUACUGAUUGGUGAAGGGUUCUCUGCAGGAAUAUGGGAUUUCUUCUCAAAACUGCAGACAGAGGACCAGCUCUGAACAGACAAAAACAUGGGUCUCAGAAUGACGCCUAAGAUGAGAGAGGUCUGGGGCUCUGUUCCUUGCUUCAUGCAGAUUCUGCUCUCUAAGCACAGAAACUCACAAGUG